UCUUCCGGGUAGGUAGUAGUUAAGGUGAUGGCUUAACUAGCCAAAAACUCUCGUAGUCGAAGCUGAAAGGUUGAUCGACCACAUUGGGUCUGAAAAAACCCCAAUGCAAGUUAGUACAGCAGUGAGGAAUCUUGGUCAAUGGCCUAACGGCUGAACUGGCAACUUGGAGAAGUGGCAAGUCUUAUUUUGAUUAUAUUACAAUAUAUAAUCUAUAAGAUUGUAUUAAAAUUGAAUAAAGCUUUGUUUAUAUAUUGAUAAUGACAGUAUAUAUAUCGUGUCUUGACUAAUUACGUGCCAGCAGUCGCGGUAAUACGUAAGAGACUAGUGUUAUUCAUCUUGAUUAGGUUUAAAGGGUACCUAGACGGUCAAUAUAUCUUCUAAAAUGUUAGUACUUGACUAGAGUUUGAUAUAAGAGGGCAGUACUUGAGGAGGAGAGAUGAAAUUCUAUUAUACCAAAGGGACUCGGUAAAGGCGAAGGCAGCCCUCUAUGUAAAAACUGACGUUGAAGGACGAAGGCACAGAGCACAAACAGGAUUAGAUACCCAAGUAGUCUUUGCAGUAAAUGAUGAAUGCCAUAGGUUAGAUUAA
This 588-nucleotide ribosomal RNA is filed under the name Aschersonia andropogonis. Its description in RNAcentral is "SSU rRNA". It matches the Rfam family "Bacterial small subunit ribosomal RNA", at positions 232 to 831 of the family's 1533-position model. Lineage: Eukaryota; Fungi; Ascomycota; Sordariomycetes; Hypocreales; Clavicipitaceae. The record is from RNAcentral.